AGUGAACGCUGGCGGCAUGCUUUACACAUGCAAGUCGAACGGUAACAGGCCGCAAGGUGCUGACGAGUGGCGAACGGGUGAGUAAUGCAUCGGAACGUGCCCAGUCGUGGGGGAUAACGCAGCGAAAGUUGCGCUAAUACCGCAUGCGAUCUAUGGAUGAAAGCGGGGGACCGUAAGGCCUCGCGCGAUUGGAGCGGCCGAUGUCAGAUUAGGUAGUUGGUGGGGUAAAGGCUCACCAAGCCGACGAUCUGUAGCUGGUCUGAGAGGACGACCAGCCACACUGGGACUGAGACACGGCCCAGACUCCUACGGGAGGCAGCAGUGGGGAAUUUUGGACAAUGGGCGCAAGCCUGAUCCAGCAAUGCCGCGUGCAGGAAGAAGGCCUUCGGGUUGUAAACUGCUUUUGUACGGAACGAAACGGUCCUGGUUAAUACCCGGGGCUAAUGACGGUACCGUAAGAAUAAGCACCGGCUAACUACGUGCCAGCCGCCGCAGUAA
RNAcentral lists this ribosomal RNA (498 nucleotides) under uncultured bacterium. RNAcentral describes it as "partial 16S ribosomal RNA". It matches the Rfam family "Bacterial small subunit ribosomal RNA", at positions 29 to 523 of the family's 1533-position model. The record is from RNAcentral.